GGGGGCGUAAGGGCUUCGACCGGAAGUCGGAGGUAGAGGUUGCGCGCCGAGGUUGUCAGGCGGCCUCGUUAAACACCUGGCAAACCUAAACAUGCCGAAAGAACACCGGCAUACGCAAUGGCGGCUUAAUUGACCGCCGCGUCACUACUGGUCCCGCCUGCGGGCCGGUAACUGGCGACAAAAAAGCAGGCUAACCCGUUAGUUCCCGUGCACGUGGGGACGCGGGGAAGGUCGCAACCCGACCCAAAACGCGCUGGCCGAGACGGAUCCUGUCAUUCGGAGCCGCAUCGGCGAAACUCAAAAGACUGACUAUGCGUGUAGAUACCUCGCUGAACGCUUUCGGGACGCGGGUUCGAUUCCCGCCGCCUCCACCA
RNAcentral lists this transfer-messenger RNA (374 nucleotides) under Planctomycetota. RNAcentral's name for it is "JAGXLK01 sp018334735 Standard tmRNA". It matches the Rfam family "transfer-messenger RNA". From Rfam's summary of the family: Bacterial tmRNA, also known as 10Sa RNA or SsrA, is named for its dual tRNA and mRNA-like properties. Its role is to liberate the mRNA from a stalled ribosome. The record is from RNAcentral. Lineage: Bacteria; Pseudomonadati. RNAcentral also lists the same sequence under 2 other names.